GCACAGAGUUAGCCGGGGCUUCCUCACUCGGUACCGUCAGACUUCGACGUGUUAGGUCGAAGCUUUUCGUCCCGAGCAACAGGAGUUUACAAUCCGAAGACCUUCAUCCUCCACGCGGCGUUGCGUCGUCAGGCUUGCGCCCAUUGCGAACAAUUCCCCACUGCUGCCUCCCGUAGGAGUCUGGGCCGUGUCUCAGUCCCAGUGUGUCCGUCCGCCCUCUCAGGCCGGAUACUGAUCGUCGCCUUGGUGAGCCAUUACCCCACCAACCAGCUAAUCAGGCGCGGGCCCCUCAUCAAGCGCCAGGUCUUGCGAUCCCCGGCUUUGAUCUCCACCUGUUCAAAGGCAGGAUGUUAUGCGGUAUUAGCGUCCCUUUCGGGACGUUAUCCCCCACUCGAAGGUAGGUCACCCACGUGUUACUCACCCGUUCGCCACUCAGUUAUCCAUUGCUGAAUAACCGCGUUCGACUUGCAUGUGUUAGGCACGCCGCCAGCGUUGAUU
This 498-nucleotide ribosomal RNA is filed under the name uncultured bacterium. RNAcentral describes it as "partial 16S rRNA". The record is from RNAcentral.